RNAcentral lists this long non-coding RNA (1030 nucleotides) under Vulpes vulpes (red fox). RNAcentral describes it as "lncRNA (ENSVVUG00000000178.1)". The record is from RNAcentral. Lineage: Eukaryota; Metazoa; Chordata; Mammalia; Carnivora; Canidae.
AUUGUAUUUCUAUUAGUCAGCACUUGUAUGGAGAAGAGAGAUUUUUUAAAUGCCUUAAAGGAGAAGAAGCUUUUGCUUCUUGGGCUACCCAGAAAGCUAGCCAGCUGCUAGUCCUUCAUCAGGAAAAUGGCAGUGUCAAUGUGCUGUAGUCAGCCCCUGAUGUCACAUUUUGCUGCUUGUGACUUACUGUGUUUGACCCAUCUCAGCUGCUCCAUAAAUAUGUGUUGAAUUGAUAUUGACUUACAGUUGCAUUUCACUGGCUUAUGAAUCAGGAAUUUUGAGUCCUGCCUUCAGCUCUGCCUCUAACUAGCUCUGUGACCUUGCACAAAUCACAUCCCCUUUACUUGUCUCAGUUUUUCCCUUUGUAAAAUGAGGGAAUUUAAUAUGGUGAUUAAAUAAUCUCCAGUUCAGACAUGCUGUGGUUCUAUCGUGUGGCUCUACCUGGCAGUUAGAAUUUCCAUUUCUAAAGUGGCACAGAAGUUUUUACUCUAAUCAAGAUGACUUUAGUUUGCAUGCGUCUGCCCCCUGUGACUGAUUAUUCCUUUUUUCGUGAAUAUGUUAACACAGUCAGCUUCUGGAACCUGCAAGGAACCACCCUUCUGUGAUCCUUACCUGGUGCGGAAGAUACUUGCAAAAGUUAAAUCGGCCCUUCAGGACAACGUAGAAAAGCGUAAGAAAGGAAGGAAAUCGACCAUACUGGUCUGUUACCGCAGACACAGCAAAAUGAAGACUGAAAAUCAGCUGAAGAUGAAGACGGAGGAAGAAAGCCUGUCCCCACUCUGGGCAACACCCUAUGCCUGCCAGGGGCCAAAGAUCUCAAAGUAGCUGGUACCUCCCCAGAAAAAGCACUGGCGAGACGGAUGCUUAGGUAGAGAUCAAAAUUUUCACGGUGGUCACCUGUGAGGAGACCAAAUGAAGUGCACGGAUAUUGAUUAAAACAACAAGUUGCAAAUGGAGAUGUGUGUAUGUGUCUUUGUGUUCUCUGAUGGUGAGAGGGGAAAGGAAAGGGGCAAGUGUAUGAAAAGGGAGG